GACGUAGGGGGCCAGCGUUGUUCGGAAUUACUGGGUGUAAAGGGCUCGUAGGUGGCCAACUAAGUCAGACGUGAAAUCCCUCGGCUUAACCGGGGAACUGCGUCUGAUACUGGAUGGCUUGAGAUUGGGAGAGGGAUGCGGAAUUCCAGGUGUAGCGGUGAAAUGCGUAGAUAUCGGGAGGAACACCUGAGGCGAAGGCGGGCUACUGGGCCGAUACUGACGCUGAUGCGCGAAAGCCAGGGGAGCGAACGGG
Molecule: ribosomal RNA, 253 nt
Filed under: uncultured prokaryote
Description: partial 16S ribosomal RNA
Rfam family: Bacterial small subunit ribosomal RNA
Source: RNAcentral